Molecule: ribosomal RNA, 247 nt
Filed under: uncultured Dolichospermum sp.
Lineage: Bacteria; Bacillati; Cyanobacteriota; Cyanophyceae; Nostocales; Aphanizomenonaceae
Description: partial 16S ribosomal RNA
Rfam family: Bacterial small subunit ribosomal RNA
Source: RNAcentral
UCAGGGAAGAACAGAAUGACGGUACCUGAGGAAUAAGCAUCGGCUAACUCCGUGCCAGCAGCCGCGGUAAUACGGAGGAUGCAAGCGUUAUCCGGAAUGAUUGGGCGUAAAGGGUCCGCAGGUGGCAUUGUAAGUUUGCUGUUAAAGAGUUUGGCUCAACCAAAUAAGAGCAGUGGAAACUACAAAGCUAGAGUGUGGUCGGGGCAGAGGGAAUUCCUGGUGUAGCGGUGAAAUGCGUAGAUAUCAG